RNAcentral lists this ribosomal RNA (901 nucleotides) under Calcaridorylaimus castaneae. RNAcentral's name for it is "SSU rRNA". It matches the Rfam family "Eukaryotic small subunit ribosomal RNA", at positions 64 to 966 of the family's 1831-position model. The record is from RNAcentral. Lineage: Eukaryota; Metazoa; Nematoda; Enoplea; Dorylaimida; Dorylaimidae.
CACAUGCCUUUAUAAGGUGAAGCCGCGAAUAGCUCAUUACAACAGCCAAAUUUUACUGGAAUAUAGUUAUCUUACUUGGAUAACUGUGGCAAUUCUAGAGCUAAUACAUGCAAAAAAGCUCUGGCCGCAAGGAACGAGCGCAUUUAUUAGAAUAAAAACCAAUCGGGUUUCGGCCCGUUUAUUGGUGAAUCUGAAUAACUUUGCCAAUCGCACAGUCCUAGUACUGGCGAUGUAUCCUUCAAAUGUCUGCCUUAUCAACUUUCGAUGGUAGGUUAUACGCCUACCAUGGUAUUAACGGGUAACGGAGAAUAAGGGUUCGACUCCGGAGAGGGAGCCUGAGAAACGGCUACCACACCCAAGGAAGGCGGCAGGCGCGCAAAUUACCCACUUUCAGAACGAAGAGGUAGUGACGAAAAAUAACGAGACAGUCCUCUUCGAGGUCUGUCAUCGGAAUGGGUACAAUUUAAAUCCUUUAACGAGGAUCUAUUGGAGGGCAAGUCUGGUGCCAGCAGCCGCGGUAAUUCCAGCUCCAAUAGCGUAUAUUAAAGUUGUUGCGGUUAAAACGCUCGUAGUUGGAUUUGCGGCCUCGGAGAACGGUCCCCCGAAAGGGUGGUCACUGUCUCUCCUAGCCUAAAUUCGAGUCGUCUCUAGGUGCUCUUAACCGGGUGCCUAGAGUGACUAGAACGUUUACUUUGAAAAAAUUAGAGUGCUUAAAGCAGGCGAAAUAGCCUGAAUAAGGUGCAUGGAAUAAUGGAAUAGGACCUCGGUUCUAUUUUGUUGGUUUUCGGAACCCGAGGUAAUGAUUAAGAGGAACAGACGGGGGCAUUCGUAUUCCGGCGCUAGAGGUGAAAUUCUUGGACCGCCGGAAGACGAACAACUGCGAAAGCAUUUGCCAAGAAUG